CCACCAGGGCCUGUGCUUCCUGG
This 23-nucleotide microRNA is filed under the name Canis lupus familiaris (dog). Its description in RNAcentral is "Cfa-Novel-15_5p* (star (passenger))". Lineage: Eukaryota; Metazoa; Chordata; Mammalia; Carnivora; Canidae. The record is from RNAcentral.